This 450-nucleotide ribosomal RNA is filed under the name uncultured bacterium. Its description in RNAcentral is "partial 16S ribosomal RNA". It matches the Rfam family "Bacterial small subunit ribosomal RNA", at positions 354 to 796 of the family's 1533-position model. The record is from RNAcentral.
GUGGGGAAUUUUGGACAAUGGGCGCAAGCCUGAUCCAGCCAUGCCGCGUGAGUGAAGAAGGCCUUCGGGUUGUAAAGCUCUUUCGGCGGGGAAGAAAUGGCACGCUCUAACAUAGCGUGUUGAUGACGGUACCCGCAUAAGAAGCACCGGCUAACUACGUGCCAGCAGCCGCGGUAAUACGUAGGGUGCGAGCGUUAAUCGGAAUUACUGGGCGUAAAGCGUGCGCAGGCGGUUUCGUAAGACAGAGGUGAAAUCCCCGGGCUCAACCUGGGAGUGGCCUUUGUGACUGCGAGGCUAGAGUGUGACAGAGGGGGAUGGAAUUCCGCGUGUAGCAGUGAAAUGCGUAGAUAUGCGGAGGAACACCGAUGGCGAAGGCAAUCCCCUGGGCCUGCACUGACGCUCAUGCACGAAAGCGUGGGGAGCAAACAGGAUUAGAUACCCUAGUAGUCC